This is an RNA transcript of Cynara cardunculus var. scolymus (artichoke), 1255 nucleotides long. RefSeq lists it as uncharacterized. The transcript is spliced from 4 exons. The record is from RefSeq and is a predicted model, not a curated record. NCBI's taxonomy places the organism in Eukaryota, Viridiplantae, Streptophyta, Magnoliopsida, Asterales, Asteraceae.
CUCAAUCAUCAGUUCCCCCUUACAUGACUAUUCACAAAUCCAUCUUCCCACACAUGACGAUUGAAGCUUCCUUAUUAAAUCCAUCUCCAAAUGACGAUUGAAGCUUCCAAUGAGAUUCAAAUCCAUCUUCCCAAUAUAUACGUUUAGGGAUUUCUUAUUGUCCAACUAUUGCUUUCAUCUCCAUCGCUCCUACCUCAGUGUUGCUUGUUGUCGAUUACAAAAUUCUUCAUCUUCUACUCUCAUUUGUCCCUCAUCAAGAAGCAAUCCUCAAAACCUGAAAGGAUGAGACCUAGCAUCGUAGUUAUAUGACAAAAUCUUGUGAUAUUAGUUAAGUUUUCAGGUUUGGUUUUAAUAGAUUAAUGGUAUAGCUACUGUUGUUGAUUUUAGUUUUCAGGUUUGGUUUUAAUAGAUUAAUGGUAUAGCUAUUGUUGUUGAUUUUAGUUUUCAGGUUUGGUUUUAAAGGAUUGGGAAUUCAGCAGCUUUAUUUCAAGUCAACUGGUAUAUACAACAUGCAAUGGCAAAAUGCUUGGAUCAUCCCUGCCUUCUGGCAAGUUUUGUCGUUCUCUCUUCUCUGUGUCAUCUGUGCUCUUUGGGCACCAUCUCAUAAUUCAAUGCGGAGCAAUAGAGGAGGAUGGAGAAGCAAAGAAGCAGAAGAUGUUUAAUUCAAGUAAACCUGUAAAUAAAUAAGGUUAUAAUAUGCCUCUAACCUCUGUAUUUGAUCUAUGUUUAUUUAUUUUAUUGUGUUUAGGAGUGAUGAACCUCCAACUACAAAGUCUACUUUAUCUUUUAGGAAGAGUUCCAGAUGACUUAAAAAUAAGACCAAUUAAUUCAUACUAACAACUAUAUCCAUACAAGGUAUAAUUUCGUGUUUUUGCCUUCAUUGUGAGUGUGUUGGCUAAGGAGAAAUGAUGUUUUCGACUUCUUUAAUAGAAUUUGAAUGUUUCUUUUUGAGUUUACGUUAAUAUUGUUGUUCCAUAGGGAGGUUGUUGCAAAAUAUGUGACGGUGUGACACAUUUUGCUAAAGCUUGUGCAGAUAAAGGCAUUAGAAAUUCCAGCAUGUACAUUGAAUCCGGUAAAAAAAGGUGUAAGAAUCCUUCACCAAUUGGAAAGAAUUGUUGUCUAUUUUGGAGUUAUUGGUUUGAUAUGAUAUUUGAUUCAAUACUUGAAUGUGUUAUUCUGGAUGAUAGCAAUUGUAAUUGAAUCGACGGCGACAAGGAAGUGGUUCACUUUGUGGUUAAAAUUAAAACUUCAAAUC